UGAGAAACGGCUACCACAUCCAAGGAAGGCAGCAGGCGCGCAAAUUACCCACUCCCGGCACGGGGAGGUAGUGACGAAAAAUAACGAUACGGGACUCAUCCGAGGCCCCGUAAUCGGAAUGAGAACAAUUUAAAUCCUUUAACGAGGAUCAAUUGGAGGGCAAGUCUGGUGCCAGCAGCCGCGGUAAUUCCAGCUCCAAUAGCGUAUAUUAAAGUUGUUGCGGUUAAAAAGCUCGUAGUCGAAUCUGUGUCCCGCGCCGCCGGUUCGUCGCUCGCGGCGUUUAACUGGCGUGUCCGCGGGACGUCCUGCCGGUGGGCUUAGCCUUUUCACGAAGGCGGCCCAAUCUUAAUCCCGCCGCGGUGCUCUUCACCGAGUGUCGAGGCGGGCCGGCACGUUUACUUUGAACAAAUUAGAGUGCUUAAAGCAGGCUAAAACUUCGCCUGAAUACUUCGUGCAUGGAAUAAUGGAAUAGGACCUCGGUUCUAUUUUGUUGGUUUUCGGAACCCCGAGGUAAUGAUUAAUAGGAACGGAUGGGGGCAUUCGUAUUGCGACGUUAGAGGUGAAAUUCUUGGAUCGUCGCAAGACGGACAGAAGCGAAAGCAUUUGCCAAAAA
This 613-nucleotide ribosomal RNA is filed under the name Trichalus sp. BM0078. RNAcentral describes it as "SSU rRNA". It matches the Rfam family "Eukaryotic small subunit ribosomal RNA", at positions 397 to 964 of the family's 1831-position model. Lineage: Eukaryota; Metazoa; Arthropoda; Insecta; Coleoptera; Lycidae. The record is from RNAcentral.